Molecule: ribosomal RNA, 230 nt
Filed under: uncultured organism
Description: partial 26S ribosomal RNA
Rfam family: Eukaryotic large subunit ribosomal RNA
Source: RNAcentral
UUUUUGCCAUAUUUAAAUAAGCGGAGGAAAAGAAACUAACAAGUGAUUCCCCUAGUAGCGGCGAGUGAAGCGGGAAUAGCUCAAAUUUUAAAUCUCUGCAUCUUGUGCAGCGAAUUGUAGUCUAAAGACGGUGAUCAAGGCUGGCGGGCCAGAUAGGUUCCUUGGAAUAGGACGCCACAGAGGGAGAGAGCCCCGUUAUCUGGAGCAAAGUCUAAAUGAGAGCCAGUCAC